Molecule: ribosomal RNA, 490 nt
Filed under: uncultured bacterium
Lineage: Bacteria
Description: bacterial SSU rRNA
Rfam family: Bacterial small subunit ribosomal RNA
Source: RNAcentral
GAUGAACGCUAGCUACAGGCUUAACACAUGCAAGUCGAGGGGAAACGACAGUAAAGCUUGCUUUAUUGGGCGUCGACCGGCGCACGGGUGCGUAACGCGUAUCCAACCUGCCCCCAACUCCGGAAUAGUCCCCCGAAAGGGGGGUUAACGCCGGAUGCUGCAAUUUUUCCGCAUGGUGGAAUUGCGAAAUGAAAAAGGUUGGGGCUGGGGAUGCGUCCCAUUAGGUAGUAGGCGGGGUAACGGCCCACCUAGCCGACGAUGGGUAGGGGUUCUGAGAGGAAGGUCCCCCCACAUUGGAACUGAGACACGGUCCAAACUCCUACGGGAGGCAGCAGUGAGGAAUAUUGGUCAAUGGGCGAGAGCCUGAACCAGCCAAGUAGCGUGUGGGACGAAUGCCCUAUGGGUUGUAAACCACUUUUGCAGGAGGGUAAAAUGCUUCACGUGUGGAGUAUUGCAAGUAUCCUGCGAAUAAGGACCGGCUAAUUCCGUG